Molecule: ribosomal RNA, 233 nt
Filed under: uncultured bacterium
Lineage: Bacteria
Description: partial 16S ribosomal RNA
Rfam family: Bacterial small subunit ribosomal RNA
Source: RNAcentral
CGGGACGGGUGAGUAAUGUCUGGGAAACUGCCUGAUGGAGAGGGAUAACUACUGGAAACGGUAACUAAUACCGCAUAACGUCGCAAGACCAAAGAGGGGGACCUUCGGGCCUCUUGCCAUCGGAUGUGCCCAGAUGGGAUUAGCUAGUAGGUGGGGUAACGGCUCACCUAGGCGACGAUCCCUAGCUGGUCUGAGAGGAUGACCAGCCACACUGGAACUGAGACACGGUCCAG